UAUUCUUGUUUUUUAACUCUACAUAAUUCACCAGAGAUAGAGACCAGAUUCAGAGCUUAACAUGAACAAUUUAGACAUUUUCUAUUCGGGGUCAUUCAAUUCAUCGAUUAUCUGGAAUGUACACAGGGAAUAUCUUUCUAUCUAAAAAGAUGUGCACAUUUUCCCGUGUCCACACUGACUCCUUUCCCCAUUGCCAAAAUAGGCAGGGAUACUACACACUUCCAUACUUCCAAACUUUGAAAUCUAUUCACCGUAGCAUUCAAAAGAGAUGGGGCAGAGGGAAUCUCAUUCCUAAUUCCAUAAAAUCAAGUGAUGUUUCAUGAACUCCUCUGUGGUCAAUAGGUAAUUUGAUGGUUUUUGAAUAAUUCUACAAAAUAAGAGCUAGAAAACCGGAUAAACGAAUCCUGUCAUACUCAUAAAUUGAUUCCAGUUUAAAUCUCACACAAGCCUGCAAAUUCCCAACAACCAGACAGACUGGAAGAUGGUUAAGUGACUUACUUAGGUCUCACAGCUAACCAGGUCCUGGAAAUAGAAGGUGAGCCCUGGUCUUCAGCCCUGAUCCAAUGUUCUUCCUUCUGGUUCCUCGCCUGGAAGCUCUUUGCCCAGAGCCAGAGCCCCGAGAACCACGUGCUAAAGUGGAAAUCAUCAGUUAGACAAUCCAGGGGCGAGUCCCACCUCCCCACCAACUAGCUCUGUGCCGUUGGUCUAGUUACUUAACCUCCGAGAGCCUCAGUUUUCUCAGCUGAAACUGAAAAAGAUAAAAUUGACUUCACACAGAGGUAGUGACUUACAGGUAGGGUGUCCCGCCUGCAGCAAGCUGUGCUCAGUGAAGGCAGAGACAGAGACGCAGCAAAGCCUGUGCGUGGAUCCCAGCAGCCCAUUCACACAGUCCUUCCCAUGCCAGGAAAUGACCUCACCUCUCUCCCGAGGACCAAAAGAAUUAGAAAUAGAUCACAGACUUAGGUUAGGUAAUUUAAAAGUACUAAUAGGAAUGAAAGCUAAUUUCAGAAGAGAAUGAUUAUUACUAUUUUAAAAAGUUAUAUUAAGGGCAGCCCUGGUGGCCCAACGGUUUGGUGCCGCCUUUGGCCCGGGGCCCGAUCCUGGAGUCCCCGGGAUCGAGUCCCACAUCGGGCUUCCUGCACGGGGCCUGCUUCUCCCUCUGCCUGUGCCUCUGCCUCUCAUUUUCUCUCUCUGUCUGUCAUGAAUAAAUAAAAUCUUUAAAAAAACAAAAAACAAACAAAAAAAAAAACGUGUACCAGUAAGUAUUAACAAUAGUGAAAGUAACUUUGUACCAUAUAAACACAUUGGCUUCUCUGUUACCCACAGAUCGCAGAUAGAAAGUGCUAGAUCACACAUACCCCACAAUUCUGUAAAAGUGCUCAUUUAAGUUGCUGCCUUGCUUAUUGUUUAUCAAUCCUAAAACAGAUAAAGUUGUAGAGUAUGGAUCUGUUUCUGCUUCACUGAACUACAAAGACAAGGCCCAGACCAGUAACGUUCAAACUUUCCCCUUCUCAUGCCCUUAAAAAAUGUUUUUAAUGUAUGCUCUCUCUUGCAUAUUUUUCAUUUGAAUCUAUAAGGAUUCAUAAUAAGUUUAAGUGGUUGUGAAGAAUGUUAUUUCUAAGGCACUGUGAAUCUUGAUAUUUUGAAAUAAAACAUCGCUUUCUAAAAUGAAUUCAGUGGAAUCUAAAUGCCACCCACCUUAAUGUAAUAGGACACCCACCUCUAUCCAUUAAAAAAAUAUAUGAACUAGCUCUUCUUUAACAUACCACCAGUUUGAAGAUCAUUGUUCUUCCCACUUUGGUAUAUAUUUUAAAAGUUUCACAUAAUAAGUAAAAACAACAACAACAAAAAAACCAAAAACCACCUCAUACAACAUAUAUGUACAUAUAUUUUAUAUUAAUAUAUGUGCAUUUUUUUAGAGACACACACAUACGCACAAAAUCAGAUGGCCUGGUUCCACCACUAGACUCUAAAUUUAAAUUGGUCUGGCAUGUAGAUGGGCCUCGGUACUUUUUUAAAGCUUCCCAGCUGAUUCUACAGAGCAGCCAAGGUUGAUAAAGACUAGAUUAGGGCUAAAAUCAGGGAGAAAACACAUUUCCCUAAAAGCAUCAGGAUCAGCACAAACUCCUGCCUACACUGGGACUAGCCCAGUGGCAGUGGGCCUAUUACUUGCGUUCUUUUCCUUUUUGCUGGAAAGAAAAAUCACCACCUCUGCUCUGAAGAACUCUGGAACACAGUGGUCGUCUGGGCACUCAGGGGCAGUGAAGGGUUCUUUUUGGUAAAACAUACUGCCUUAUGCAGAGAUCAAGCUGACAACUUCAGACUCAAAGGACAUGUGUGUGUGUUUUUGUUUGUUUGUUUCAUCAACUGUUUUUAAAGAAUCAAUGCAUCCAUUUCAAGUGUAGUGCUAUUCCAUCAUCUGCUGUAUUGCAGGGCUUCGUCUGCCUCUAUAAGCAAUGUAUCUUGUGUUUCACUGGCUGCUUUAAAGAUUUUUCCCCUUUUUCCUGGUUUCCAGAAGGUAGAAAAGCAAUAGAAAAAAAAAAAAUCAAUGAAGCCAAAAUUUGGUUCUUUGAAAAGAUGAACAAAAUUGACAAAAUUUUAGCUAGAACAGCCAAAGAGAGAAGACUCAAAUCACUUCAAACAGGAAUAAAAGAGGAUGUUUACCAAACUUAUGUAAAUAAAAAGGAUUAUAAGGGAAAAUGAGGAAUAGAUGUAUGUUGACACAUCAGAUAAUUUAAAUGAAAUGGAGAAAUUGCCAGGAAUACACAAAAUACUGAAACAGACAUAAAAUGAAAUGGAAAAUGUGACUUGGUCUGUAAUAAGUAAAGAGAUAAAACUGGUAAUUUUUAAAUUUCCACAAAGAAAAGCUCCACCCCAAAGAAAAGAUAGUGUCACUGGUGACUUGUGCCAAACAUUCAGAGAAGAAUUAUUAUGAAUUCUUCACAAGUUGUUCCAGAAAAUAGAUGAGGAAUAGACACAUCCUAAACCAUUUUAUGAGGCCAGUAUUAACCCGAUAACAAAUCAGACAAAACUAGCAUAAGAACAGCAACUAAAGAUCUAUAUUGCUUGUGAACAGAUAUGUAAACAUUCUCAAUAAAUGCUACAGCAUAUAGAAAAGAUUAUACACCAUGACCAAGUGAAAUUUGUUCCAGAAAUGUAGGGCUGGCUUAAUAUCUGAAAAUUAGUAUAACAGACAAUAAUACAGAGUAAAGGGGAGAAAAUAUGAUCAUUUCAAUAAAUGCAGAAAAAGCAGAGAACUUCCUCACCCUUACAGAGGACAUCUUCUGGAAACUUCAAAUCUAGCAUCAGGCUUAAAGGUGAAAAACUGGGUGCUUUCCACCAAGAUCAGAACAGGUAAGGAUAUCUGCUCUGAUCUGAUUAUCAUUGUAUGAGAGGUUCUGGUCAGGGCAAGAAAAAGAAAAAGCAUCCAGAUCAAAAAAGAAAAAAGUAAAACUAUCUCUGUUUGCAGAUGGGGUGAUCUUACAUAUAGAAAACCCAAAGUAGUCCGCACAUACACACAAAUAUUAGGAUGAAUAAACAAGUUCAGCAAAGUUACAGAACAUAGGAUUAAUGUAUAAAAAUAAGUUGUAUUUCUCUACACGCUAGCAAUGAACAUUCUGAAAUGAAAUUAAGGAAACAGUUCCAUUUAUGAUAUCACCAAAAAAUAAAAUAUCUAGUUACAAUUUUAAGAAAAGAAGCCAAGACUCAUACACCAAAAUUUACAAAACAUUGUUUAAAGAAAUUAAAGACCUAAGUAAAUGGAAUGUCACCCAUGUUCAGGGAUCAGAAGACUUAAUAUUGUUAGGACAGCAAUACUCACCAAAUUGAUACACAGAUUAAUAUAAUUUCCUUUUUUUAAAAAAGAUUCUAUUUAUUUAUUCAUGAGAGACACAGAGAGAGAGGCAGAGACAUAGGCAGAGGGAGAAGCAGGCUCCACACAAGGAGUCCGACUUGGGACUCAAUCCCAGGACCCUAGGAUUACAACCUGAGCCCAAGGCAGAUGCUCAACCACUGAGCCACCCAGGCACCCUGGAUUGAGAUAAUUUCUACCCAAAUCCUGGGUUUUUUGCAGAAAUUGGCACACUGAUCCUAAAAUUCAUGUGGAAAUGCCAGGGACCCAGAAUAUCCCAAACAAUUUUAAAAAGGCAGAAUAAAGUUGGAAGAUUCAUACAUCCCUAUUUUAAAACUUACUACAGGGGCACUUGGGUGGCUCAGUCAGUUAAGUGUCCAACUCUUGAUUUCUGCUCCGGUCAUGAUCUCAGAGUGGAGAGAUCAAGCCCCCCCUAAGAGCCCUGCAACAGGCUCCAUGCUCAGCAGGGAGUCUGCUGGAGAUUCUUUCUCCCUCUACCCCUCCCCUCGCUCUUGCAUAAAUAAGUAAAUAAGUAAAUCUUAAAAAAAAAAAAAACUUACUACAAAACUACAGUGAUCAAGAUAGUGUCAUCCUGGCAUAAGGCUAGACAUAUGGAUCAAUGGAAUAGAAUUGAGAAUCCAUAUAUAAAUCCUCACAUCUAUACUCAAUUGAUUUUUGAGAAGGUGACAGCACAAUUCAACAAGGAAACAAUAGUCUUUUCAACAAAUGGUCUUGGAUGACUGGAUACUCACAUGCAAAAGACAAAAUUGAGCCCCCCUCCUCCUACCAUAUAUAAAAAUUAAUGCAAAAUGAAUCAGAGACCUAACUGUAAGAACUAAAACUAUAAAACCAUUAAAAGAAAACAUAAGCAUAAAUCUCAAUGACCUUGAAUUAGGCAAUGGUUUUUCAGAUAUGAUACCAAAAGAAAAAGUGACACCAACUCAUCAAUAUUAAAAUUUGUAUGCUUCAAAAGACACAGGAAAGUAAAAAGACAACCUGCAGAAUGGGAGAAAAUAUCUGCAAAUCAUAUAUGUAACAAAAAUCUAGUGUGUAGAAUAUAUAAAGAACUCUUACAACUCAUAAAUAAGACAAAUAACCCAAUUAAAAAUGGGCAAAAGGCCUGAAUAGACAUUUCUCCAAGGAAGAUAUACAAAAGGCCAAGAACUACCUGAAAAGACCCAUAUCAUUUACUCUCAAGAAAAAAAAAAAAAAAAAA
This 5066-nucleotide long non-coding RNA is filed under the name Canis lupus familiaris (dog). RNAcentral describes it as "lncRNA (ENSCAFG00000053904.1)". Lineage: Eukaryota; Metazoa; Chordata; Mammalia; Carnivora; Canidae. The record is from RNAcentral.